ACAGUUUAGAGGGGAAAGAAGAAAGAAAAAUAAACUAAUCUUGAAUAAAACCCAAUGUAAUCACUUUUAUUAGAAAAAGUACACUUCAAACACCAUAGUUCAGUCCUCACUUCUGUCUGGAUUGCUUUAUUCUGCAACACAAUGGGAAGAGCCAGCCUUCUGUUGCCCUUUCCAUGAGUUUAUGAACUUUGUUUUGUGCACACAAAGCUGGACAGUAACCAUGACAGAGAUGACCAGGGCUUUCUUCGAGCCAGGAGCAAACUGAUAGCAGUGAUCACCAAACACUUUCAGAGCUUUCUUCACUAAAACAGAUGGGCUUUCAUCUUAGAGACAAAAAUAAAAACACUGUCGGCAAUAUAUUGAAACUUAAUGAGAAAGCAGGCUCCUUGGUUGGUGCAGAAAUUAUUUAUUUAUUGAAGAAUAAUUUAGCUGUAAUGAUGAUCCCUUUCUCUCUCUCUCUCUUUUGCAAACAAGAAUUAGUGUAUGUGGAUCCUUUGUACGUCCUUGGACAUAAAUCUGAACCUGUUUAAAAAUUGUUUAGCAUAAUCCUAGAGCAUCAUCUGUUUCAUGCUGUUUAUUUUGGCUCUGAUGCUGUCACAGAUGUUCAUGAUUACAGAAUGAAAACAUGGCAGCACUGUAGUAGGUGGCUCACCAUGGAAUGCAAAAGCAAUGAAGGACAUGAAGGACCCCAGUAAACUUUACAAAUGUGGGAACUUGAAGCUUCUCAAAGGUCAAAUGGUGAAAUUCCCAUGGUGGAUUACAGGUUGAGUUUGGUUUGCCAUGGGAUUUGUAUGCCCAGUUUAAAGAGUUCCUCCACUGUGAGCCAGCUCAGGGGUCAGGCAGGCUCAGGCUUCUCUUCAGAUUAGCAGUCAGCAAGCCAAACAGGCAGUGAGCACAAGGUGGCUCUGCUGUGAGUGUGGAGUGCUUGGAAUGGUUUGUUUCCAGAAAUAUCUAACUCUCUGAGGAGAUCCUGAGCUACUCUUCAUGAUUCUGCCUCUCCUUUCCACUGAUGCUCCAGCUACUGUGGGACCCCCAAGAGGAAUUUCUGCUCAGAAUACAGGGAAGAGCAGCAGCUGGGACUCAGAAAAAAUACUUGGAGCAAGAUGAAAGAAGGAAGAGGAAAGGCAAGAAAUCAAGAACUUCAAAGGAGACAAGCCAGGGCCAUAUGAAAAGAAAUUACAUUUUAGCUUUGUAUUAAGAAAAUUUAUAUUAUAUUGUAAUAAUUAUAUUAUAAAUAUCAGUGAGCAUCUUUCUUGUCAGGUUAUUGUUUGGCAUGUGUGGUGUCAAAAAGCUUCAUUUCCAGACUGGGCAAUUUCUUACAAUUUGUUUAAAAAUUUAUCUCUGUAAGUAUUGUAGUAUGGAAGGCUGAUUUCUGACUAAUCGAGAAUAAAACUAGUCCUCCAUUAUGGAAA
This is a long non-coding RNA of Peromyscus leucopus (white-footed mouse), 1412 nucleotides long. RefSeq lists it as uncharacterized. The transcript is spliced from 4 exons. The record is from RefSeq and is a predicted model, not a curated record. Lineage: Eukaryota; Metazoa; Chordata; Mammalia; Rodentia; Cricetidae.